CCCCAGGGCUGUAGCUGGGUAAAAAGAGAUGCCAGUCAUGACUGUCCCUCAGCCACAGCUGCUGUUUCUACCAAAAAAUGUGUCCCUUUUAUAGAGGGGGAAACAAGCGUCCUGGGGCCACAGUUACUAUCCAGCUGGGUGGGUUUGAGGCCGGGAUCUGGCCCUCAGAAUAGGGAGUGGGGAUGGCAAGGCCCCCAGUUUCCCCUUGGGGAAGUUUCCCAUGAAGGAGCUCAGCAUCUCUUCUGGAGGUGGCAGGACUGGGAGGCAAGGCCUUGGGCAGGCGCUCCCUGCUGUGUGCCUCAACCUCCCCAUCUCCUCAGUGAGGGAGGCCAUGUCUUGUUGGGGGCACGGGCAGCCCCGUGGGAGUGAAGUCAGAGCCCACCCUGAGGGGCACGGGGCUGAGCUGCUGCCUUCACCUCUUCACAGAGACUGAGCAGAUCCCAGAGCAGCCGCCCUGGUGACUGCCUGCAGGUGGCACUUCGAAUCCACCCGCUCAAUGACGCAGAACUGAAGGAGGGAGCCGCGGUCAUCGCCCACAAAGUGGGGGACCAGAUGGUGAUGCUCAUGGACCCCAGCGAGGACCCCGAGGACGUGGCGCGAACACGCCG
Homo sapiens (human) is the source of this 608-nucleotide long non-coding RNA. The record is from Ensembl. Lineage: Eukaryota; Metazoa; Chordata; Mammalia; Primates; Hominidae.